GGGAAUACAAAUGAAAUUCUUAAUGUGCAAUAUUCAUAUAUGAUUCAUUAUAUUCUUCUUUAUGAUCAAUGUAAAGCAAGUGUCUUCUGUGGUAGUCAGAGUGCUUUAAAGGAAGACCAUCAUAACUGCAGUUCCUGCAGGAGCCAUCGCAGUCCUUCANCAGGAACCGAAUAUUAAAAUGUUUCAGUUUUAUGAAGAGCUCCAUGAAAAGAUUUUGUAGUUUUACAAAGAGGUGAAUUCCUUGCUCUGGAAGUUGCUGGAGUUUCUUACACAAAUGUAUUGUUGUUAAUUCAGACUGGAUUAGGCGUUAAUAACAAAUAGGAUAAGAAGUGUCCCACAAAUCGUAUUUAUUUCUGUAUCUGAGCAGAUGCUACGGAUUAUAGGCUUGGCUUGCUAAUGCCAUCUUUGUCUUUAUAAGUUACAGAGAAUUAAAGAAAGUCUGCAGUGCUACCUGAGUUUGUUUUUUUGAUAUAGUGGCAGUAAUUAAUUUAGUUAAUUCCACAAGUUAAUUUCACAAGUUUUCACACAGCUGUUUCUGCAUCUUUUCAGCAGUUGUCUGAGAGAAAGAUUGACAAACCAAAUAUUACUUUUUUAUGGUAAAAUGCGUCCUCUUCAUGUGAAAAUGAUCUGUGUGAACUAUAAAGUGUAGCCAGAUGUUGAUACCACUGCUCUUCAUGCUGAUGUGGUACAGCGCUACUUUCUGCUUUAAAUUUGUGUCAUUUUACAGAGACACUUGGUCAGGGUGGUCAUUUUAGUUCGCUCUUCUGCUGAACCUGUUUUUCAAAGCAAGUUCAUGACCAACAGGGACCUCUGCUAGAGAACUGGAAAAAGCUGUUGUAAUUCUGUAAGCUAAAUGAAUGGUCCAGAGAGAUUGUAUGUGGCGCGUGAUGCCAGGUUUCAUCUGCUUCUAAAGUUAAAUGUGUUUUACCAUCAGGAAAUUUUUUGUAUAAUACAGAGCAAAAAUCCCCUUAAAAAAAUAUAAAUGAGCUUGUGCUCUUAUUCCGUGUCUUAUAACCAUUUUCAUCAAGCUGAACCAUUCCUUGCUUUUAUUUUUAAAGUAUUUUAUUUUAAAAAUUAUUUUUAUCAAGUUCUCUUGAUUCAUUUUUCCUAACAAAACAAAAGUUCUGUUUGUCACUGUUUUUCUUCCCUAAUUGUGAUCGUUUAAUUAAGGAACCUA
Molecule: long non-coding RNA, 1177 nt
Filed under: Chrysolophus pictus (golden pheasant)
Lineage: Eukaryota; Metazoa; Chordata; Aves; Galliformes; Phasianidae
Description: lncRNA (ENSCPIG00010006847.1)
Source: RNAcentral